Molecule: ribosomal RNA, 235 nt
Filed under: uncultured bacterium
Lineage: Bacteria
Description: partial 16S ribosomal RNA
Rfam family: Bacterial small subunit ribosomal RNA
Source: RNAcentral
UGGCGGACGGGGGAGUAAUGUCUGGGAAACUGCCCGAUGGAGGGGGAUAACUACUGGAAACGGUAGCUAAUACCGCAUAACGUCGCAAGACCAAAGAGGGGGACCUUCGGGCCUCUUGCCAUCGGAUGUGCCCAGAUGGGAUUAGCUUGUAGGUAAGGUAACGGCUUACCUAGGCGACGAUCCCUAGCUGGUCUGAGAGGAUGAUCAGCCACACUGGGACUGAGACACGGCCCAG